Molecule: ribosomal RNA, 468 nt
Filed under: uncultured bacterium
Lineage: Bacteria
Description: partial 16S ribosomal RNA
Rfam family: Bacterial small subunit ribosomal RNA
Source: RNAcentral
GACGAACGCUGGCGGCGUGCUUAACACAUGCAAGUCGAACGGAAAGGCCCUGCUUUUGUGGGGUGCUCGAGUGGCGAACGGGUGAGUAACACGUGAGUAACCUGCCCUUGACUUUGGGAUAACUUCAGGAAACUGGGGCUAAUACCGGAUAGGAGCUCCUGCUGCAUGGUGGGGGUUGGAAAGUUUCGGCGGUUGGGGAUGGACUCGCGGCUUAUCAGCUUGUUGGUGGGGUAGUGGCUUACCAAGGCUUUGACGGGUAGCCGGCCUGAGAGGGUGACUGGCCACAUUGGGACUGAGAUACGGCCCAGACUCCUACGGGAGGCAGCAGUGGGGAAUAUUGCACAAUGGGCGGAAGCCUGAUGCAGCAACGCCGCGUGCGGGAUGACGGCCUUCGGGUUGUAAACCGCUUUCGCCUGUGACGAAGCGUGAGUGACGGUAAUGGGUGAAGAAGCACCGGCUAACUACGUG